This 433-nucleotide ribosomal RNA is filed under the name uncultured bacterium. RNAcentral's name for it is "partial 16S ribosomal RNA". It matches the Rfam family "Bacterial small subunit ribosomal RNA", at positions 29 to 507 of the family's 1533-position model. The record is from RNAcentral.
AGCGAACGCUGGCGGCAGGCUUAACACAUGCAAGUCGAGCGGGCACUUCGGUGUCAGCGGCAGACGGGUGAGUAACACGUGGGAACGUACCCUUUGGUUCGGAAUAACGCUGGGAAACUAGCGCUAAUACCGGAUACUCCCUUUUGGGGAAAGGCUUUCUGCCGAAGGAUCGGCCCGCGUCUGAUUAGCUAGUUGGUUGGGUAAUGGCCUACCAAGGCGACGAUCAGUAGCUGGUCUGAGAGGAUGAUCAGCCACACUGGGACUGAGACACGGCCCAGACUCCUACGGGAGGCAGCAGGGGGGAAUAUUGGAAAAUGGGCGCAAGCAUGAUCCAGCCAUGCCGCGUGAGUGAUGAAGGCCUUAGGGUUGUAAAGCUCUUUUGUCCGGGACGAUAAUGACGGUACCGGAAGAAUAAGCCCCGGCUAACUUCGUG